UACGUAGGGGGCAAGCGUUGUCCGGAUUUAUUGGGCGUAAAGAGCGUGUAGGCGGCCAUUCAGGUCAGCUGUGAAAACUCGAGGCUCAACCUCGAGACGUCGGUUGAAACCGUUUGGCUAGAGUCCGGAAGAGGAGAGUGGAAUUCCCGGUGUAGCGGUGAAAUGCGCAGAUAUCGGGAAGAACACCCGUGGCGAAGGCGGCUCUCUGGGACGGUACUGACGCUGAGGAGCGAAAGCGUGGGGAGCGAACAGG
This 253-nucleotide ribosomal RNA is filed under the name uncultured bacterium. RNAcentral's name for it is "partial 16S ribosomal RNA". It matches the Rfam family "Bacterial small subunit ribosomal RNA", at positions 524 to 776 of the family's 1533-position model. The record is from RNAcentral.